This 486-nucleotide ribosomal RNA is filed under the name Staphylococcus sp. RNAcentral's name for it is "bacterial SSU rRNA". It matches the Rfam family "Bacterial small subunit ribosomal RNA", at positions 108 to 581 of the family's 1533-position model. RNAcentral also lists the same sequence under 1 other name. The record is from RNAcentral. Lineage: Bacteria; Bacillati; Bacillota; Bacilli; Caryophanales; Staphylococcaceae.
GAGUAACACGUGGAUAACCUACCUAUAAGACUGGGAUAACUUCGGGAAACCGGAGCUAAUACCGGAUAACAUAUUGAACCGCAUGGUUCAAUAGUGAAAGGCGGCUUUGCUGUCACUUAUAGAUGGAUCCGCGCCGUAUUAGCUAGUUGGUAAGGUAACGGCUUACCAAGGCAACGAUACGUAGCCGACCUGAGAGGGUGAUCGGCCACACUGGAACUGAGACACGGUCCAGACUCCUACGGGAGGCAGCAGUAGGGAAUCUUCCGCAAUGGGCGAAAGCCUGACGGAGCAACGCCGCGUGAGUGAUGAAGGUCUUCGGAUCGUAAAACUCUGUUAUCAGGGAAGAACAAAUGUGUAAGUAACUGUGCACAUCUUGACGGUACCUGAUCAGAAAGCCACGGCUAACUACGUGCCAGCAGCCGCGGUAAUACGUAGGUGGCAAGCGUUAUCCGGAAUUAUUGGGCGUAAAGCGCGCGUAGGCGGUUU